GUGGGGAAUCUUGGACAAUGGGGGCAACCCUGAUCCAGCGAUGCCGCGUGAAUGAAGAAGGCCCUUGGGUUGUAAAGUUCUUUCACCUGUGACGAUAAUGACGGUAACAGGAGAAGAAGCCCCGGCUAACUCCGUGCCAGCAGCCGCGGUAAGACGGAGGGGGCUAGCGUUGUUCGGAAUGACUGGGCGUAAAGGGCGCGUAGGCGGUUGAUUAAGUUAGACGUGAAAGCCUCAGGCUCAACCUGAGAACGGCGUUUGAUACUGGUCGACUUGAGGACGAGAGAGGAAAGUGGAAUUCCGAGUGUAGAGGUGAAAUUCGUAGAUAUUCGGAGGAACAUCAGAAGCGAAGGCGGCUUUCUGGCUCGUCCCUGACGCUGAGGCGCGAAAGCGUGGGGAGCAAACAGG
This 405-nucleotide ribosomal RNA is filed under the name uncultured [Caedibacter] sp. Its description in RNAcentral is "bacterial SSU rRNA". It matches the Rfam family "Bacterial small subunit ribosomal RNA", at positions 354 to 776 of the family's 1533-position model. Lineage: Bacteria; Pseudomonadati; Pseudomonadota; Alphaproteobacteria; Holosporales. The record is from RNAcentral.